GACGUAGGGCGCGAGCGUUGUCCGGAUUUAUUGGGCGUAAAGAGCUCGUAGGCGGCUUGUUGCGUCGACCGUGAAAACCCGUGGCUUAACUGCGGGCUUGCGGUCGAUACGGGCGGGCUGGAGUUCGGUAGGGGAGACUGGAAUUCCUGGUGUAGCGGUGAAAUGCGCAGAUAUCAGGAGGAACACCGGUGGCGAGGGCGGGUCUCUGGGCCGAUACUGACGCUGAGGAGCGAAAGCGUGGGGAGCGAACAGG
This 253-nucleotide ribosomal RNA is filed under the name uncultured bacterium. Its description in RNAcentral is "partial 16S ribosomal RNA". It matches the Rfam family "Bacterial small subunit ribosomal RNA", at positions 524 to 776 of the family's 1533-position model. The record is from RNAcentral.